This 1360-nucleotide long non-coding RNA is filed under the name Chrysemys picta bellii (western painted turtle). Its description in RNAcentral is "lncRNA (ENSCPBG00000008015.1)". The record is from RNAcentral. Lineage: Eukaryota; Metazoa; Chordata; Testudines; Emydidae.
CCCCCCCCAAAAAAACCCCCUUGCUUCUCUCCAAGGAGGGGGGAAGAGGAGACAGAGGAAAAUUCAAAAAGGUGGAAUCUGUCUCCAUCUCAUUUCAGAUCUUGACUUUUAUGAGCCUGCAAGUCAUACGCAGACACACAUACACAAAAAGAGGGGGGGGGGGAGGAAAGGAGAGAAAAAUCUUGUGAAAUGUGCGUGUGAUUAAUAAUCUAGCUUUUAAAAGACCAUCCUUCCCCAAGGCUGAGACAGAAGAGAAAAGAAUUUGCCUUUCACAAGAUCCGUAAGGAAUUGGAAGUCCCUUGGGAGUUUCUGCGUCCAGCAAAGUUUGGUUGGGGUUGUUUGAAUGGGGUGGAGAAGACGAGAGCGAUGGAUUUUUGGUGUGGCUGAAAUGACAAUAAAACCCUCCAGGAAUCUGGCUUCGUCAUUUUAGCUCUUUUCUCCCCCCCCCUCCCCGCCCCUUUCUCUCUGAUUAUAAUUCUGCUCUUUGCAAAGACCAAAUCGACGUUGCAAAUAUUAAUUAUUUGUUAUUAUAGCUACACACCCAGCAGGGAGAGAGAAUUUAAUCUAAACAAAACCUUAUUUCUCCCGCUCCCCCCACGCCAGGACAGAGAGGGUAUUUUUAAAAAGGAGGUUGUUGUUUUUUCUCUCUCUCUCCUCUCAAAUCCUCCUCUCAAAUCGUGGAGAGUUUGGGAGCCACGAAGAAACGGACCGAAUUCAAUUUCGAUCAUAGACGAGAGACUUCAAAAUACCUCUCCCGUUUUAUUGAUUCCUAUCCUUGCUGGGUGGAUUAACUUUCUCUCUCCUCCUCCAUUGACCUAUCUGCUCCCCCUUCCCUUCUUCCUGCCCUCGCCCCGAUCCCGAGUCUUCUCUACCACUCCUUCCUUCCUCCUUCCGCCCAUCCCGAGUCCUCUCCUCCACCACUCCUUCCCCCCAUCCCGAGUCUUCUCCUCUACCACUCCUUCCUUCCUCCUUCCCCCCAUCCCGAGUCUUUUCCUCCACCACUUCAUCCUCCUUCCCCCCAUCCCGAGUCCUCUCCUCCACCACUCCUUCCUCCCAUCCCGAGUCUUCUCCUCUACCACUCCUUCCUCCUUCCCCCCAUCCCGAGUCCUCUCCUCCACCACUCCUUCCUCCUUCCCCCCAUCCCGAGUCCUCUCCUCCACCACUCCUUCCUCCUUCCCCCCAUUCCGAGUCCUCUCCUCUACCACUCCUUCCUUCCUCCUUCCUCCCAUCCCGAGUCCUCUCCUCCCCCACUCCUUCCUCCUUCCUCCCAUCCCGAGUCCUCUCUUCCACCGCUCCUUCCUCCUUCCCCCCAUCCUGACUCCUCUCCUCCCCCUCUCCUCCUGCCCCGGCCCCUCCCCCC